Molecule: ribosomal RNA, 468 nt
Filed under: uncultured bacterium
Lineage: Bacteria
Description: partial 16S ribosomal RNA
Rfam family: Bacterial small subunit ribosomal RNA
Source: RNAcentral
GACGAACGCUGGCGGCGUGCUUAACACAUGCAAGUCGAACGGAAAGGCCCUGCUUUUGUGGGGUGCUCGAGUGGCGAACGGGUGAGUAACACGUGAGUAACCUGCCCUUGACUUUGGGAUAACUUCAGGAAACUGGGGCUAAUACCGGAUAGGAGCUCCUGCUGCAUGGUGGGGGUUGGAAAGUUUCGGCGGUUGGGGAUGGACUCGCGGCUUAUCAGCUUGUUGGUGGGGUAGUGGCUUACCAAGGCUUUGACGGGUAGCCGGCCUGAGAGGGUGACCGGCCACAUUGGGACUGAGAUGCGGCCCAGACUCCUACGGGAGGCAGCAGUGGGGAAUAUUGCACAAUGGACGGAAGCCUGAUGCAGCAACGCCGCGUGCGGGAUGACGGCCUUCGGGUUGUAAACCGCUUUCGCCUGUGACGAAGCGUGAGUGACGGUAAUGGGUAAAGAAGCACCGGCUAACUACGUG